This 212-nucleotide unclassified non-coding RNA is filed under the name Hevea brasiliensis (rubber tree). The record is from RNAcentral. Lineage: Eukaryota; Viridiplantae; Streptophyta; Magnoliopsida; Malpighiales; Euphorbiaceae.
UCGCACAAAACAUGGGAACACAAAUUGGAGGUUUAUAGGAGAUUGGGUUUCUCUGAAGAUGAGGUUUGGUCGAUUUUCAGAAAGCAUCCCAAAUGCAUGAGUUUGUCAGAGAAGAAUGUUAUGGGUACGAUGGAUUUUUUUGUGCGCAAGAUGGGUUGGCAGCCCGCUGCUGUUGCUAGAUUUCCAACUGUGCUUUGUUAUAGUUUGGAGAG